RNAcentral lists this ribosomal RNA (496 nucleotides) under uncultured bacterium. RNAcentral's name for it is "partial 16S ribosomal RNA". It matches the Rfam family "Bacterial small subunit ribosomal RNA", at positions 28 to 506 of the family's 1533-position model. The record is from RNAcentral.
GAUGAACGCUGGCGGCGUGCCUAAUACAUGCAAGUCGAGCGAACAGACGAGGAGCUUGCUCCUCUGACGUUAGCGGCGGACGGGUGAGUAACACGUGGAUAACCUACCUAUAAGACUGGGAUAACUUCGGGAAACCGGAGCUAAUACCGGAUAAUAUAUUGAACCGCAUGGUUCAAUAGUGAGAGACGGUUUUGCUGUCACUUAUAGAUGGAUCCGCGCCGCAUUAGCUAGUUGGUAAGGUAACGGCUUACCAAGGCAACGAUGCGUAGCCGACCUGAGAGGGUGAUCGGCCACACUGGAACUGAGACACGGUCCAGACUCCGACGGGAGGCAGCAGUAGGGAAGCUUCCGCAAUGGGCGAAAGCCUGACGGAGCAACGCCGCGUGAGUGAUGAAGGUCUUCGGAUCGUAAAACUCUGUUAUUAGGGAAGAACAAAUGUGUAAGUAACUAUGCACGUCUGGACGGUACCUAAGCAGAAAGCCACGGCUAACUACGU